Dendroctonus ponderosae (mountain pine beetle) is the source of this 839-nucleotide long non-coding RNA. RefSeq lists it as uncharacterized. Lineage: Eukaryota; Metazoa; Arthropoda; Insecta; Coleoptera; Curculionidae. The record is from RefSeq and is a predicted model, not a curated record. The transcript has 3 exons.
GCGUUGAUUUUGCCCUUUAUUUAGCCUGCUAAUCGUAUCCUUGAUCCCGAUGAGUAGCGGAAUUAGCAACAACAACUAAACUAUUUUCGAACUCAGCCUCGAACUUUCGAUACCAUUCGUUACAUUCAAAGGAAGGUUGUUGCAUUUCCUUGGUACCUUACCGUGCUUGACACUGAGACCCAUAAAGGCUGUUGCAGUUUCAUCGCCUCUGGAUUAGUUGCGAUCAUAUCGUCGCUUUAUCCAAGUUGUACAUAUAUAUCAGUGUUGACUGUAUUUGGGAAACAUGUAUUCGUUCGCGAUACAUUUUCGGUCGGCAUUAGUUGCAGAGUGGCAUUUAGUAAGAGUGUGCAAUUUUUGCGGCUGAUUUACCGCGGCGCGCCUGAUCAUGUCGAAAAAAAAAUUCAGUCCGGACGAAUUAGAGAAAUAGUUGCAACAGGUGGUGAGAUAAUUAGAAGAUAAGGAGAAGAAGAUCUGUCAGCAGACGUGAUUCAUAAUCAGAGUUUUACCAGAAGAAAUCGUUUAUUAAUGAUUAACUGAGUGACUUUUUACAAUGAUAAUAGAAUUUAACAACUAACUAACUACUUCUUCCAAUGGCACACACAACUGUCAGUUAAACAUAACCGGCAACAUGGCACACAGUUACAAGUAACUGUACUAUUAAUAAGAUCUACAAUAGAACAUUAACGAUUUUGACAGCGAUUCAAACCUAGAGCCAGAAGUUACUGAAAGUAACGUUUAUAGCAGUGAUUCUGAACAAUAAGCAGAUGAAGAAGCAGAAUUUGAACCACGUGAACAAGACAAAGAUAAUCAAUUUCUUAUUGACAAAAACAAUUAUAUUU